This 301-nucleotide ribosomal RNA is filed under the name uncultured bacterium. RNAcentral describes it as "partial 16S ribosomal RNA". It matches the Rfam family "Bacterial small subunit ribosomal RNA", at positions 509 to 807 of the family's 1533-position model. The record is from RNAcentral.
CAGCCGCCGCGGUAAUACGGAGGGUGCGAGCGUUAAUCGGAAUAACUGGGCGUAAAGGGCACGCAGGCGGUUAUUUAAGUGAGGUGUGAAAGCCCCGGGCUUAACCUGGGAAUUGCAUUUCAGACUGGGUAACUAGAGUACUUUAGGGAGGGGUAGAAUUCCACGUGUAGCGGUGAAAUGCGUAGAGAUGUGGAGGAAUACCGAAGGCGAAGGCAGCCCCUUGGGAAUGUACUGACGCUCAUGUGCGAAAGCGUGGGGAGCAAACAGGAUUAGAUACCCGUGUAGUCCCUGUCUCUUAUAC